GCAGUCUGCAACUCGACUGCAUGAAGCUGGAAUCGCUAGUAAUCGCGAAUCAGAAUGUCGCGGUGAAUACGUUCCCGGGCCUUGUACACACCGCCCGCCACACCAUGGGAGUUGGAAGCACCCGAAGUCGGUGACCUGACCGAAGGGAGGAGCCGCCGAAGGUGAAGCCAGCGACUGGGGUGAAGUCGUAACAAGGUACC
This 200-nucleotide ribosomal RNA is filed under the name uncultured bacterium. RNAcentral describes it as "partial 16S ribosomal RNA". It matches the Rfam family "Bacterial small subunit ribosomal RNA", at positions 1300 to 1500 of the family's 1533-position model. The record is from RNAcentral.